This 255-nucleotide ribosomal RNA is filed under the name uncultured Desulfitobacterium sp. RNAcentral describes it as "partial 16S ribosomal RNA". It matches the Rfam family "Bacterial small subunit ribosomal RNA", at positions 188 to 431 of the family's 1533-position model. The record is from RNAcentral. Lineage: Bacteria; Bacillati; Bacillota; Clostridia; Eubacteriales; Desulfitobacteriaceae.
CAUCCUCGGGUAAGGAAAGGUGGCCUCUGAAGAUGCUACCGAUUAUGGAAGGAUCCGCGUCUGAUUAGCUAGUUGGUGGGGUAAAGGCCUACCAAGGCGACGAUCAGUAGCCGGCCCGAGAGGGUGAACGGCCACACUGGGACUGAGACACGGCCCAGACUCCUACGGGAGGCAGCAGUGGGGAAUCUUCCGCAAUGGACGAAAGCCUGACCCAGCAACGCCGCGUGCACGAUGAAGGUCCUCGGAUCGUAAAGU